AUUUAUUGUAACAAAAUAAAGAAAUGAGAAACAAAAUGUAAAACUAAAUUGUAGUAGAAGAACAUUGGAGUGCAAAACUACAGAACAAGUUUUGAAAGCUUGUUCCUUCUGUAUUUGUUGAGCCGAAGCUACAAGUAAAUCCCAACAAUCAUACAAUUAAAUCGAUACCAGAGGUUGACAACUUCAAGAUUGGGCAUUGAACCAAGAAUCGUGAUAUAUUUCCAAGGAAACCUGCAACAUAAUGUUGUGGUUUGCAGGCCUUUGACAGGAGUUCUUUACAAUGUUUGACAAUCUACUUCCUAAAUUUCUCCAUCUCAGAAGGGCACAAAGCUUUUCAAACACUUCUUCACAAAAUAAAUUCCAUCUUUCAUCCUUAUUGAGAAAGUUGACAUGAUGAAGAUAACAACAGUAGCUAGCAUAUAUAGCGAAGUUCACUGGACUACUAGUUAACAAGAUUCUACUUCCAUAUUAUUUAUAUCUGUUUCAUAUCAUCCCAUACAUCAUCCAUUACAAUGGGAUAUCUCCUUUCGUUUAAUGAUAUUUUUAGUCUACUGGUUAACAGGAUUUUACUCCAUCUUGCUUGUAUCAAUAUUUCAUAUUGCCCCAAAUCGGAUAUUCAAAACAUUAUCCAUCACAACAAGAUACCUCCUUCCACUUAUCCUAGGCUCUUAGUCAACAAGAUUCUUAUCCUAUAUCAUUCGUACGAUUCCACGUUUCUUAGGCUCUUUGUCAACAAAUUCUUAUCAUAUAUCAUUUGUAAGAUAGGAGACCUCCAUAUCCCACACAUCAUCCAUGAUAAUAAGAUAUAUCAUUCCCUUCAAAAAUAUUUUCUAAUAUACUGGUUAGCAAAAUUCUACUUCCACGUCAUUUUCAAAUGAUUAUUUAGUAUCGUCACGCCACCUAGUAUUUCAUAUAUCACCUAUCAUAGUAUAAUUUUGAGAUAUUGUUGCCCACGUACGAAUGUUACAUCAUACAAAAUAAAUCCAUGAUCGUAAAUUUUUCUAACAUAAAGUGUCUUACCGAGUCCUUCCAUUCCAACUAUAGAGAUUAGAUCAAGUUCCGUUUCUUGAUCUCCAUCGAAUCAGCAUCAAGAUCCACCCCAAUGAUCUCAUCUUUGGUCGCAGUUUUUGAGGAAUCAGCAAGCGAUAAUGUCUUCCUUGCCAAAAUUCCAUUGUUUUCACUGCUCAUUUGAGAAGAAUUUUCAACUUUCAAGAAACUAAAAGGGUUUCAAAUAUGGAUGUAAUUUGUUGUUUCUAGAUCUCAAAUAUAUUGAUAAUUUUGAAAGCAACUUUCAAUUUCUUAAUGGCAUAACAGGCUGGAUUUGC
RNAcentral lists this long non-coding RNA (1325 nucleotides) under Olea europaea subsp. europaea. Lineage: Eukaryota; Viridiplantae; Streptophyta; Magnoliopsida; Lamiales; Oleaceae. The record is from RNAcentral.